RNAcentral lists this ribosomal RNA (700 nucleotides) under Actinomycetes bacterium. RNAcentral's name for it is "bacterial SSU rRNA". It matches the Rfam family "Bacterial small subunit ribosomal RNA", at positions 97 to 807 of the family's 1533-position model. The record is from RNAcentral. Lineage: Bacteria; Bacillati; Actinomycetota; Actinomycetes.
GGCGAACGGGUGAGUAACACGUGAGUAACCUGCCCAUCACUCUGGGAUAAGCGCUGGAAACGGCGUCUAAUACUGGAUACGAGCAGCGACCGCAUGGUCAGUUGCUGGAAAGACUGGUUCGGUGAUGGAUGGACUCGCGGCCUAUCAGCUUGUUGGUGAGGUAAUGGCUCACCAAGGCGACGACGGGUAGCCGGCCUGAGAGGGUGACCGGCCACACUGGGACUGAGACACGGCCCAGACUCCUACGGGAGGCAGCAGUGGGGAAUAUUGCACAAUGGGCGCAAGCCUGAUGCAGCAACGCCGCGUGAGGGAUGACGGCCUUCGGGUUGUAAACCUCUUUUAGUAGGGAAGAAGCCUUCGGGUGACGGUACCUGCAGAAAAAGCACCGGCUAACUACGUGCCAGCAGCCGCGGUAAUACGUAGGGUGCAAGCGUUGUCCGGAAUUAUUGGGCGUAAAGAGCUCGUAGGCGGCUUGUCGCGUCUGCUGUGAAAACCCGAGGCUCAACCUCGGGCCUGCAGUGGGUACGGGCAAGCUAGAGUGCGGUAGGGGAGAUUGGAAUUCCUGGUGUAGCGGUGGAAUGCGCAGAUAUCAGGAGGAACACCGAUGGCGAAGGCAGAUCUCUGGGCCGUAACUGACGCUGAGGAGCGAAAGCAUGGGGAGCGAACAGGAUUAGAUACCCUGGUAGUCCAUGCCGUAAAC